AAAAAAACUAGGAGGAAAGAAGAAGAAGAAGAAGAAGAAGAAGAAGAAGAAGAAGAAGAAGAAGAGGAAGAAGAAGAGCUAGUAAAAAUAGCAGCAAGAGUUGAGAGGUGGUGUGGAUCUUUCCAUAGCAAAAAGGCCAAACACAUCUGUUCAAUCCCAAAGAGAAGAACAAACCUUUCUGCAGCAACAAUCCCACCCCAGGACUUGGCAGCUGGUAGGAAGAGAGGUGCAGAUCUGCAGGAGCAAACCAUCACAUUCCGAUGUAUCCUCUCAGUCUUCAGAUGUGCAACCAGUUCAAGACCAAAAUCUCGCACUCAACUGACUAGAAACAUUUCUCAGCUAUUAUGUUUGAAUAUCUGUGAUUGUGUCACUAUGAUAACUUCUCUAUUGGUGAAGGUAAUGGGUUGUCCUCACUAUUGUCAAAUCCAUAGUUGCUGUGGCCAAUCUUCUGAUGUUGGGUCUCUAUGUUCUGAAAUACACUUGUUCUCGAAUGCAGAAUAUCCUGAUCAUACGGAAAGCCACAACAAUAUGGUAGAACUUUUAUUUAUUUUUCAAAACCAAUUUGAAAUACUUUUAUGACCUUAUAGUACAAAGAGUAUAAACAUAGCCUUCAAGAACUAAGGAUUUAUGGCCACAUCAUGGUGAGGUAACAGAAGAAGGAUUUUAGUCCAUACAUGGAGAGGAGGAAUGAAAACUCCAUUCCCUUUGAAACCAAUAAGUAGAUUUAUCUGCACACCUUGAGUUGGCAGAGUACUUCAGGAAUCAGUUUGUAUCUUGAAGGUCUGCCAGACACAAAUUAUUCUUGUUAUAGCCAUAAUCUUGGCUUAAAAAAUUAAGGGAGAAAAAUCCUGCUUACACUGAAGAAUCUUGGCAGGAGACAUUGGUGAAGUAGUUGGCUGCGUUAGGGUAAACACUCUUCCAACUAUAUCAAGAUUAACUUUGUUUCUGCCAAUGCACUACUCAAGAUGGCCUGUGUAGAACUGGAAGAAAUCCAUAGCUAAAAUGGGAGUUUGGAAAUUAUAUUUUUUAAUUCAAUAAAUCGGCUUCCAGAUUCUCUCAGCCAGCAUGUGUGAUUUUUUUGCACCUUUCUAAGUUUUCUUCUCAAUGUUCUUAUAGCCAUAUUACAAUCUGACAUACAUGUGCCAUACUUUGUCACAUUUGCCUUAGACCAAAAAAUCAUUAAUACUGUCAUACUUACAUCAUGCAUCAUGCUUUAUCAAUGUCUUUCAAAGAUGCUUUAGGACUGCAGAACUCAUGAUCUGGUAUGUUCAUAACAGAUUAGCUACGUGCAAAUAAUAGGAAAUAUUUAGAAUGAUUCCCUUCAUUGUUCAGGACUUCCAGCAUUUUGCAUGAUUCCUUAAGGAAUGUAUCUUAAUUUUCUUCACUAGAGCAAAUUCUGCCACUGCAAAGUAGCAACCAGUAGACAUUUUGCAUUUUUAGGAGGGAAAAAUAUUACCAGUAUAUAAAAUCUGACAUUGAACGCAAAUGAGUUUCACUGGAAAAAUAAACACCACUCUUGUACAAUUUUGGCAUGUCAAUGUUAAACAACAUUAGUCCUCAUUACAGAUUAAUGAGCUGAAAAGAAAUUCAAUAGUAAGCUAAAAAUCAUCCUUAUUCUACCAUUUGCUGAAUAGAGUGCAAUUUUAAAAGCAAGUUAUCAACAGCACUUAACAUGGAUGGUGCCGGAACUCUUCAAGGAGAGUGCUGAAACAUAGUGAUUAAAAACACACUCACACACAGCUACAACUCAGCUCACCAGGGAUAUGUAGACCUAUAUAUGUGUUGUUGAAAAACUACUACUAUGAUCCCUGAAUACUAGUCAUGCUGUCUGGUGGGAAAUGAAGCCCAUCAACCUAUGGAGUGCCAUAAGAGUCCCAGGUCCGAUGCACAUAUUUUUCUGAUUAUAUACCAUUGCAUUUUGCAGAAUUGACUUUUGAGUUGUAUGAAUAGUCUUAUAAUACAGGUAUAGUACUAUAUCCUACAUAACAGAAUUAAUGCCACUUUAACCACUUUAACUGUCCUAACUCAAUGCCAAGUAAUCAUGAGUGUUGUAAUUUUACAAGGUCUUCAGCCUUCUCUGCCAAAAGUACUGGUGCCUCACCAGACUACAAAUCUCCAAAAUAUUUCUGAAGAUACAACCUCCGGUUAGCUUCCAUGAUUAUACAUGAUCUGAUGCCUUUAAGGUAUUUAAGUUUUUCAAUGCUGAAUGUUUCAUAUGAAAUCCAGAAAUUCCAAAAGUUCCAUGCUUUCCACAAAGGGCUUGCUUACAAAAAUCUUGGUGCUCUGCUCCAUAGUUAUUACAGACAACCUCAAAUUGCUCAAUAAAAAAUGU
Molecule: long non-coding RNA, 2332 nt
Filed under: Anolis carolinensis (green anole)
Lineage: Eukaryota; Metazoa; Chordata; Lepidosauria; Squamata; Anolidae
Description: lncRNA (ENSACAG00000033154.2)
Source: RNAcentral